This is a long non-coding RNA of Amphibalanus amphitrite, 3747 nucleotides long. RefSeq lists it as uncharacterized. The transcript is spliced from 2 exons. Lineage: Eukaryota; Metazoa; Arthropoda; Thecostraca; Balanomorpha; Balanidae. The record is from RefSeq and is a predicted model, not a curated record.
UCGUACUGAGUACCGAGUACUCGUUUCUCUAUUGUGUCGUUUCUUGUCCGCCACUAUCGAAAAUAAACAGUCUCCAUCUUGGACAAAUCGUGGCGUGUCGUGGCCCGGACCGUUCGACGGAACUACACACCCAGGACACUAUAUUGUGGCGACGAGGAUGAGAUCGUUUCUCGUACUCGUUUCUCUAUUGUGUCGUUUCUUGUCCGCCACUAUCGAAAAUAAACAGUCUCCAUCUUGGACAAAUCGUGGCGUGUCGUGGCCCGGACCGUUCGACGGAACUACACACCCAGGACACUAUAAAAGGCCAACUCCCUUUUGUUGAAUUUCGAAAUUACCAUGGUUCUGAGCUGUUCAGCCUACCGGACCUGCCAAUGCUCUACCAUGAAUUGUCGAGUAACUUCAGUGAUGUGGGGCUUACAUUAUGGUCAAAAAAUAUCAAAAUUGAAUUAUCUAUCAGAUUCUGUGCCUUUUGUUGCCUUUUAAAGGUUGGAAACUGUGUUUAGUUGAUGUUCAAUACAUAACCACCAUUGCUGUCCAUGGUCACCCUGUUCCACUAUAUGUAAUGAUUCUCAAAAACUAGAUCGAUGUGGGGUCUAAAUAUUUCACUAAAAUUAACAGAAUCGCUUACAUUAUAAUAUAUUAAAAUGUCAAAACGUAAGAAACGCGGGAACUUUAAAAGAUUUACGUCUAAUUCUAAAACUUUGAAUUUUGAAUACAAAACAGUUCUGGACGAAAACAUAGCUAGAUGGUGAACUAGUCAUUGUUGGGCUCACAAAGACCCUUUAUUGAAAUAAAAAUUCAAUUUUCUCCCAAAAUAUGUAUGAUUUAUUGCAGUUUAAGAAUCAAAAGAUGCAUUAUUUUGGUCUGGUAUGCGUUGGCUUCCUUGCCGCCUAAGGUCACACGGUGAGAGUUAAUGGCAUAUUAUUAGAAAACAAGACCGAUGUGGGGUCUAUUUAAAGCAUGAUAGUAAACAAAAUUGAAUUUUGUAUCUAUUGGUAUAGGUUUUUAAACAACAUAAACGCGGGAACUUUACGAAACGUGGUAUUGAAAACUGCCGACCAUAAUUAUCACCCGCAGUUGCGCGCAGUUUUCUGUACUGCUAUCGCUAGCAAACGCCAGAUUUUGUAUUUGAUUGGUUUAACGGCGUUUCUUUUACUGAUUGAGAACACUUUUAAGUUUCAAGCUAUUCAGCAUGGCUUUGGAUUCAACUCAAGGCGCUCAAGGCUAUAAACAUUUUCAAAUUUAAUGAAUUUUCUUGUUGGAUUUGUUUUUGAUAGGCCACGGAACAGGAAACGGAUUUUGAAAUGUAUUUUUAUUGUGAGUUUAUCUGUGCCGGGUGGGGUGGAUUUGUGUCAAGUUUCUUUUCUGUGGUUAGUUGAGAUACAAGUCAAAAUAGUUUUUAUAUUGAUUUGCCAUCGGGAUUAUUAGGUAGUUACCUAUCCUACGAAGUAUGUAGUCUACCUGAAGUCAAGUCUAUAUAAACCCCUCACCCAGAUUCGUUUUGGUCCUCUGCUCUCUUGUUUCCAUGAUCCUGAUCCUCUCCUUCUCUUCUUCGUCUCAAUCUCCUGCUUCAGGUUGAGACCCUGCUGUGGUUGGCCAUUUCGAGUUGUGCUUUUGGAGCUUGCAGCAAUGCGUGUUGCAAGUAACUCACCAGAAAAGAUGAUGCUCUGAGAAUUAAUAAACAAAAGCCCACAAAGUCCUGUAAUUGACAAGUUACAUGGAUAAGUUUGAGUUAUUAUAUCAUUAAAAAAGUCUUGCAAUGUGUGUAGCGAUCAUGAAAUACAUGCCCUCUGCGGGCUUUGUCCACCUCUCCCAAACAUCCACCCUGCUAAGGGUUGGACAGACAACUAUCUGAUGGGGGAAGCCUGGAGGUUCCCCCAGGGUCCAAUCUUAUAAAAUGUCUUACUAUUUUAUUCACGGCAUUUGGUAACAUUUAUGGUGAUGUCAGUGCUGUCAGUGCUGAGUCUGGGUGACUGAGUCUUGACAACUCACCUCAACCUGGGUGUCUGCCCAGACCAAUGUUUCCUCAUAAUGUCUCCAGGUCGACACGGUUUUAACAGGCACUCGGACCUAAUGUAUACUUUUACCGGUCUCCACUGCUCUCCUCGCCUGUUUCAGCUGUCUACCCCUGCACGCUUGAUUCCUGACUCCCUCUCUCAUUCGAUUUACCCAGGUUUUGCCAAUGUUCUGAGUGUUCAGUUGCUACUUUUUGGUGCGCACACACCCCAGACUCUCCAUCCAAUUAAUGCCUGAACAGUUGCUGAAAGUGCCUCCCACCAGACUUGCUGAAUGGCUACUACUUGCAUAUGCUAUCUGGACUGAAGCUUCCCCAACUAGCUGCCAUGGCUCUCGGCAGCUGGGCUUAAUAGGUCACAGGUCAAAGUUCAUUUGGGUCAGGUUCAUAAAAUGUCAAGGACAUGUGUAAAAUUGAUCAACUGGAGGGUACUGAAAGUUUCGUCGCAAUCGGCGUCUUUUUAUGCGAGUUAUGAGUUAUCCGCGAAAAUCCGAGGAGGGGGCCCCCCCCCAUACGGGCGAGGGUUAGGCCACAUUCGGAAAGUCAAGCUACAUCUAGCUAGGCACAUCAGCCUAUCACGGGCGUUUGACUAGUAAAAUAUAGACAUUUGCAGCCUUUUUUGACGUUGAAUUUGCUGAUUUAGUUAUAGGUCGUCAAUCGUCAUUAUGUGCCUGCCGCCGCUUUUGUCGUCUUCAUUGUGUGCUUUGUGGUUUUUUAGUUUUGAUUAUAUCAUCCUCCAUCAGGCUUGUUUCUGGCAGUGGUUCUGGAGACAGCGUGUCGAUCCAGCUGUAGAACGUCAUCCGGAGGUGGCAGAGUGUGCUGGCCAGCCACGCGGCGCGCGUAUCGACAUUGACCAGAAACUAUCACAUCAUCUCCAGGUCACUGGUCGAGGGCGCUCGAGCUGACGGUGUCUUCCGACGGCUCCACGGUGACCAGCGCCGCCACCGCCGAGACCAUCCGACUCCUGAAAUGCUAACGGCCGUGCACGAACAAGAGGCUCUAAGCAUCCAGGUGCAAGGCAAGCGCCAUGCUCAGAGGUGUCAUCCGAAGAAGGCCGCACAGUGCACUUUAGGGUGAGCUCGGGUGUAGUGCGCGCCGACGGAUAGGAUGAAAUGACGGGCCGGCCAUCAGAUUUCAGUGCGGGGAUCAAGGUGGUCGGAGCCGAUGUGGCUCGGUUGAUGGUGUGGCAGGGACCAGGGUUGAUUGAGAGUGAAAGCGAGACACCCGGAUCUGUAAAGAAUACGCCGAUACGGGUCUCGAACGUCGUCCCGCAAUUUGUGCUCUGUAAUAUGACGGCUAUGCCGUGGUAUCAUUCACUCUCGGUGCGCUAAUAAAUAAUUAAUAGGACAGAGGCUGGAAUUAAGAUAUUAUAUUUGGAUGUAAGGGGCAGGUUUGGGCCAGCGCUAUUUUAGAAAUCGUGAGCGUGCUAGUUGCAAUCAAUCGUGCGCUUCUUGUUGAGCAUCUGGAGCGAGAAAAUACUUUCUUUGGAACUUAGCAGUUCGUCGUGAAAUAUUUGUAUCUUUGGAGUCAGUUGUCAGAACAUGAAUGCAUUUUUGGUGUCCACUGCAGCUGCUGUUCUGGAACAGAAACAUGCCGAGAUCGGCUGUGUUUGUAUGUUGUGGCAAAAUCAAGCAGCCGUACCAUGAAUCAAAAGCGAUAUGUGAAUUAAAGUGAAUAUAUUUCACUAUUUUUCAGUUUUAUCAUACAGAUCACAGAAAUGCGUCAAAUACUGA